This 523-nucleotide ribosomal RNA is filed under the name uncultured haloarchaeon. Its description in RNAcentral is "bacterial SSU rRNA". It matches the Rfam family "Archaeal small subunit ribosomal RNA", at positions 1 to 526 of the family's 1478-position model. The record is from RNAcentral. Lineage: Archaea; Methanobacteriati; Methanobacteriota; Halobacteria; Halobacteriales; Halobacteriaceae.
AUUCCGGUUGAUCCUGCCGGAGGACAUUGCUAUUGGGAUUCGAUUUAGCCAUGCUAGUCGAGGGAGUUCAGACUCGCGGCGAAUAGCUCAGUAACACGUGGCCAAGCUCCCCUUCAGUCAGCGAUACCCUCGGGAAACUGAGGUUAACAGCUGAUACAAAACGCCAGCUGGAAUGCGGCGUUUCGGAAAGACACCGCUAAAGGAUGCGGCUGCGGCCGAUUAGGUAGACGGUGGGGUAACGGCCCAGCGUGCCAGUAAUCGGUACGGGUGAUGAGAGUCAGAGCCCGGAGACGGAAUCUGAGACAAGAUUCCGGGCCCUACGGGGCGCAGCAGGCGCGAAACCUUUACACUGCACGGAAGUGCGAUAGGGGAAUCCCAAGUGCGAGGGCAUAUUAGCCCUCGCUUUUCUCGACUGUAAGGUGGUCGACGAAUAAGAGCUGGGCAAGACCGGUGCCAGCCGCCGCGGUAAUACCGGCAGCUCAAGUGAUGUCCCAUAUUAUUGGGGCCUAAAGCGUCCGUAGCU